Molecule: ribosomal RNA, 506 nt
Filed under: uncultured Rickettsiales bacterium
Lineage: Bacteria; Pseudomonadati; Pseudomonadota; Alphaproteobacteria; Rickettsiales
Description: bacterial SSU rRNA
Rfam family: Bacterial small subunit ribosomal RNA
Source: RNAcentral
UACUGAGUGGCAGACGGGUGAGUAACAUGUGGGAAUCUGCCUUGUGGUUCAGGACAACAUUGGGAAACCGAUGCUAAUACUGGAUAAGCCCUUACGGGGAAAGUUUUAAUGCCAUAAGAUGAGCCCGCAUUUGAUUAGUUAGUUGGUGAGGUAAUGGCUCACCAAGACAAUGAUCAAUAGCUGAUCUGAGAGGAUGAUCAGCCACACUGGGACUGAGACACGGCCCAGACUCCUACGGGAGGCAGCAGUGGGGAAUCUUGCACAAUGGAGGAAACUCUGAUGCAGCGAUGCCGCGUGAGUGAAGAAGGCCUUUGGGUUGUAAAGCUCUUUUGUAGGGGAAGAUAAUGACUGUACCCUAAGAAUAAGGUCCGGCUAACUUCGUGCCAGCAGCCGCGGUAAUACGAAGGGACCUAGCAUAGUUCGGAAUUACUGGGCGUAAAGCGCGCGUAGGCCGUUGAGUUAGUUAAUUGUGAAAUCCCAAAGCUUAACUUUGGAACUGCAAUUAA